Molecule: RNase P RNA, 325 nt
Filed under: Bacteroidales bacterium
Lineage: Bacteria; Pseudomonadati; Bacteroidota; Bacteroidia; Bacteroidales
Also listed under: 1 other name
Description: RNase P RNA component class A
Rfam family: Bacterial RNase P class A
About the family: Ribonuclease P (RNase P) is a ubiquitous endoribonuclease, found in archaea, bacteria and eukarya as well as chloroplasts and mitochondria. Its best characterised activity is the generation of mature 5'-ends of tRNAs by cleaving the 5'-leader elements of precursor-tRNAs. Cellular RNase Ps are ribonucleoproteins.
Source: RNAcentral
UAGGUGGGUCGCUCUAUCGCUCUCUCACAAAGGGGGAGGAAAGUCCGGACAGGGUAGAGCAAGACUCUGUGGAAAUCACAGCUAGGGGUAACCUUAGGGCUAUCGUAACAGAAAAUUACCGCCUCUUGUGAGGUAAGGGUGAAAACGCGGGGUAAGAGCCCACGCCAAGAUAUGGUGACAUAUUUUGGGUACGACCAGUCUCCUGCAAGGCCAUGUAUACCGGCUUAGGACUGCUCGUCCGAUAAUGCCGGGGGGUAGGCUGCAUCAGAUAAAUGAUAGAGGCCUCAAUGAGGCACAGAAUCCGGCUUACAGACCCACCUUUUUA